RNAcentral lists this ribosomal RNA (610 nucleotides) under uncultured bacterium. RNAcentral describes it as "bacterial SSU rRNA". The stretch from base 1 to 521 matches the Rfam family "Bacterial small subunit ribosomal RNA", at positions 338 to 873 of the family's 1533-position model. The record is from RNAcentral.
CCUACGGGAGGCAGCAGUGGGGAAUAUUGGACAAUGGGCGAAAGCCUGAUCCAGCAAUGCCGCGUGAGUGAUGAAGGCCUUAGGGUUGUAAAGCUCUUUUACCAGGGAUGAUAAUGACAGUACCUGGAGAAUAAGCUCCGGCUAACUCCGUGCCAGCAGCCGCGGUAAUACGGAGGGAGCUAGCGUUGUUCGGAAUUACUGGGCGUAAAGCGUACGUAGGCGGUUAUUCAAGUCAGAGGUGAAAGCCUGGAGCUCAACUCCAGAACUGCCUUUGAAACUAGGUAGCUAGAAUCACGGAGAGGUUAGUGGAAUUCCGAGUGUAGAGGUGAAAUUCGUAGAUAUUCGGAAGAACACCAGUGGCGAAGGCGACUAACUGGACGUGUAUUGACGCUGAGGUACGAAAGCGUGGGGAGCAAACAGGAUUAGAUACCCUGGUAGUCCACGCCGUAAACGAUGAUAACUAGCUGUUCGGUCUCUACGAGACUAGAGUGGCGCGAGCUACGACAUUAAGUUAGUCCGUCCGUCGGGAGGUACGGUCGCGAAGAAGUUAAACGUAACGAAAGGAAGUAGUACGCGUUGUAGAGUUGCGAGGACGACGACGAGGGAGAGG